This 1345-nucleotide long non-coding RNA is filed under the name Pongo abelii (Sumatran orangutan). RNAcentral describes it as "lincRNA". The record is from RNAcentral. Lineage: Eukaryota; Metazoa; Chordata; Mammalia; Primates; Hominidae.
CUCCUCCUCUUCCUAAUUCUCCUCCUCUCCCUCCCCCUUGUCCUCUUCGUCUUCCUUUUCUUCCUCCUCUUCUGUCCCAGGGCUUUCAAACUCUGGCUCUCUAACGACACGGAAGACUUAAAAGGAGGAACGCCGGCUCAGCCAAGCCCCGGAGACUCCUACUUGAUAUGAGCAGUUUAAAACCACUUUCCCGUUAAAUUUUUCUGUGACAACUCUUUUCAUGGAGAACGAAAAGACUCUUGUUAAGGGUUGCCGUUCAGAAGUGUUGGCGUUGAUUGCUAACAUAAGAUCCAACAAGAAAUGGUGAAAAUGCACAAUGCCUCAGGACGCCUUGAGGAAGGGGCAGCGUGUUGCUGCCGAGGGUGAGCACACGUGGUUUCCGAGGAGGGGCGACAGAUCUCCCUGGGCGUCAGUCAUCCUGGGACUGGGUGCUAUGGAAGAAGGUGACGCCAGGCAGACACCAAGAGCAGGGGAGCUGCAGGCUCGUAUCAGAGCCCGUAUCAGAGCAGGGUGGCCCCUGAGUGGGGAGGGAGCCGGAGCUCACUGCUGGAGGAGGGCCCGGCACCUGCACGUGAGGACAUGAGUCUGAGGCCUGCAGAGAAGCCGGGUGAGACACUGCUGUGCUUCCCUGGGCCACAGCCCCUCACAGCUGCAUCCAGUCACCAGAGCUCCUCUGUGCCUCACCCACCCUUGAUCAUAGAAGACAGCCUGCAUGUCCUCAGCUCUGUCCUCCAACCGGCUGCCCGGGAGGCCUCCCUGGCUGCUCCCCAAACUGCACAUGCCCUGAGUCAGCCCUGGGGCCUCAGGGACUCCCCCGUUCAUGCAUCCUGGCAGCGCGCAAACCAUCCCUGUCGGCUCCCACUGACAUGCUACAGGAUCUCAGGGCGGCUCCACCACGCAGGUUCAGAAGGGAUGGGAUUCUGUGUGCUUUUCCUUCUUGCUUCAGACCUUCACCUGGGGCUCUAACAUCAAAAGUCUGUGCCAGACAGAGGCAUCCACAGCGACAGGAGCCUGGGCAAGGGCGGCCAUCCCUGCUGCAGAGACGAAUGUCAGUGUCCAUGGAAUCAAUUCGGUGUGGUGAGCGGCAGGUCUGAUAUGAAAGCUACUCACGCUUCCCGUCUGGGCAAGAGCAGGAACUCAGCAGGCAGAGAGCUGGUGGAGCCUUCCAUGGGAAAACCAGAACCUUCAAAGAGCCCGGCCUCCCUCUGAUCAGCCCCUUCUUUCCGAUCAGAUGCAUUAUUGACGAGGCAGCUCCUUCGCCUGCCUCUCGUCAGAGCCGCUCGUUUCCCACCGUGGUAAUUUAUACUUGUGAUUUUAGCCUUGAUCAAUAAGGCAAAGGAGAAGA